GGGGGAUAACUACUGGAAACGGUAGCUAAUACCGCAUAACGUCGCAAGACCAAAGAGGGGGACCUUCGGGCCUCUUGCCAUCGGAUGUGCCCAGAUGGGAUUAGCUUGUAGGUGAGGUAACGGCUCACCUAGGCGACGAUCCCUAGCUGGUCUGAGAGGAUGACCAGCCACACUGGAACUGAGACACGGUCCAGACUCCUACGGGAGGCAGCAGUGGGGAAUAUUGCACAAUGGGCGCAAGCCUGAUGCAGCCAUGCCGCGUGUAUGAAGAAGGCCUUCGGGUUGUAAAGUACUUUCAGCGGGGAGGAAGGGAGUGAGGUUAAUAACCUCAUUCAUUGACGUUGCCCGCAGAAGAAGCACCGGCUAACUCCGUGCCAGCAGCCGCGGUAAUACGGAGGGUGCGAGCGUUAAUCGGAAUUACUGGGCGUAAAGCGCACGCAGGCGGUCUGUCAAGUCGGAUGUGAAAUCCCCGGGCUCAACCUGGGAACUGCAUUCGAAACUGGCAGGCUGGAGUCUUGUAGAGGGGGGUAGAAUUCCAGGUGUAGCGGUGAAAUGCGUAGAGAUCUGGAGGAAUACCGGUGGCGAAGGCGGCCCCCUGGACAAAGACUGACGCUCAGGUGCGAAAGCGUGGGGAGCAAACAGGAUUAGAUACCCUGGUAGUCCACGCUGUAAACGAUGUCGACUUGGAGGU
This 691-nucleotide ribosomal RNA is filed under the name uncultured bacterium. Its description in RNAcentral is "bacterial SSU rRNA". It matches the Rfam family "Bacterial small subunit ribosomal RNA", at positions 138 to 824 of the family's 1533-position model. The record is from RNAcentral.